GAUUAACGCUGGCGGCGUGCAUAACACACGCAAGUCGAACGAUGAAACUUUAAUGAACCCUUCGGGGAGAAUUAAAGCGGAUUAGUGGCGAACGGGUGAGUAACGCGUGAGUAACCUGCCUUACACAAGGGGAUAGCCUUUGGAAACGAAGAAUAAUACCCUAUAAAACCAUAAAAGCACAUGCAAUUAUGGUCAAAGUGAUAGCGGUGUAAGAUGGACUUGCGUCUGAUUAGCUAGUUGGUGAGAUAAAAGCCCACCAAGGCAACGAUCAGUAGCCGGCUUGAGAGAGUGUACGGCCACAUUGGGACUGAGACACGGCCCAGACUCCUACGGGAGGCAGCAGUGGGGAAUUUUGCACAAUGGGGGAAACCCUGAUGCAGCGACGCCGCGUGAUUUAGAAGGCCUUCGGGUUGUAAAAAUCUUUUGUAUAGGAAGAAAAUGACAGUACUAUACGAAUAAGGUCCGGCUAAUUACGUG
RNAcentral lists this ribosomal RNA (477 nucleotides) under uncultured bacterium. RNAcentral describes it as "partial 16S ribosomal RNA". It matches the Rfam family "Bacterial small subunit ribosomal RNA", at positions 28 to 507 of the family's 1533-position model. The record is from RNAcentral.